GAGUUUGAUCAUGGCUCAGGACGAACGCUGGCGGCGUGCUUAACACAUGCAAGUCGAACGAGAAUCUACUGAAAGAGUUUUCGGACAAUGGAAGUAGAGGAAAGUGGCGGACGGGUGAGUAACGUGUGAGGAACCUGCCUUGAAGAGGGGGACAACAGUUGGAAACGACUGCUAAUACCGCAUGAUGCAUAAGGGUCGCAUGAUUCUUAUGCCAAAAGAUUUAUCGCUUCAAGAUGGCCUCGCGUCUGAUUAGCUAGUUGGCGGGUAACGGCCCACCAAGGCGACGAUCAGUAGCCGGACUGAGAGGUUGAACGGCCACAUUGGGACUGAGAUACGGCCCAGACUCCUACGGGAGGCAGCAGUGGGGAAUAUUGGGCAAUGGGCGCAAGCCUGACCCAGCAACGCCGCGUGAAGGAGAAGGCUUUCGGUAUGUAAACUUCUAUCAGCAGGGAAGAAAAUGACGGUACCUGACUAAGAAGCCCGGCUAACUACGUGCCAGCCGCCGCGGUAAG
Molecule: ribosomal RNA, 512 nt
Filed under: uncultured microorganism
Description: bacterial SSU rRNA
Rfam family: Bacterial small subunit ribosomal RNA
Source: RNAcentral